UAGUUUUGUUGAAUGGAAAUGUACAUACUUUAAUAUAUCCGAAUUAUUUCCAUUGUAUUUCAGGUCAGUUUACGUUGCGAGACAUGUAUGAGCAAUUUCAAAAUAUCAUGAAAAUGGGCCCCUUCAGUCAGAUCUUGGGGAUGAUCCCUGGUUUUGGGACAGAUUUUAUGAGCAAAGGAAAUGAACAGGAGUCAAUGGCAAGGCUAAAGAAAUUAAUGACAAUAAUGGAUAGUAUGAAUGAUCAAGGUAAGAUGGCAGAUUAUUUUCCUCAGGCAAAAAUGUUCUGAGUAUCAGUAAGAUGAGAGUUUCACUGUAUUCUUGUGGACAAGAUGGGGAGAAAUUUAGCCUGAAAGAUUAUUUUUGGGUAGAUUUGUAAUAGCUUGAAAGCUCUUACUCAAAGGGUUAUGAUUAUUGGAUUGCCUUCAUCGUUGAGAGAAAUGUCUAGUAUAAUACUUCUCCAAAUGAGUUACAAGGAAAGAACACUAGUUCUUCAUGAUGUUCAUAGAGUUAACUUAAAAGGAGAACUCUGA
RNAcentral lists this small RNA (530 nucleotides) under Pan troglodytes (chimpanzee). RNAcentral describes it as "retained intron". Lineage: Eukaryota; Metazoa; Chordata; Mammalia; Primates; Hominidae. The record is from RNAcentral.